Non-coding RNA from Streptococcus sp. 'caviae', 82 nucleotides. Lineage: Bacteria; Bacillati; Bacillota; Bacilli; Lactobacillales; Streptococcaceae. The record is from Rfam.
GGUAUUGUUUACCCCAUUUGAAAGGCCCCGGAACCCUUCAAAUAACCAGUGGACCGGAACAUCCACUACUUGUAAACAUAAG